GCUAGCAAUCAGCAAGACUCCGUGGGCGUAGGACCCUCCAAGCCAGGUGCGAUAUAAUGUCGUGGUGCGCCGUUUUUUAAGCUGGUUGGAAAAGCGCAGUAUUCGCGUGGGAGUGACCCGAUUUUCCAGUGAGAUGAACCCGGUACCUCAGAUUGAAAUGCAGAAAUCACCCGUCUUCUGCGUCGCUCACGCUGGGAGCUGUAGACCGGAGCUGUUCCUAUUCGGCCAUCUUGGCUCCUCCCUCAGUUCUGGAGACUGGGACAUCCAAGGUCAAUGUGCUGGCAGAUUCAAUGUCUGGAGUGAAAUACAUCACCGCUUUCCCUGCUCCCGCCGCCAUUAAAAUUGUGUUUGGCAUCUGACCACCAAGAUACAGAUAUUUCCUAGACUGUUUUGCAGCUAGGUACUUAGUCUUGAAGCCAUCAAGCUCCAAUUGAUCCUCACUGAGGAAUACUGUCCUCUAAAUAUUAAGAAUCAGCUUUCUACAGGGGACCCUCAGACUGCCCAACUGUGGGACAUGAGAAAGGCAAGAUCUUGUCAUGGUCUCCCUUGGACCUGGCUGGAUACCACUUUCAGCAAGUCAUGGAGCCAAUUCUUCCCUGACAGCUAGCAAGAGGCCAAGACCCACAGAACCACCACCACCACUUCUCUAUCAGCAGGAAGCAAUUGCAGAAACCUGACUUUCAUUCACUUUCCCCCAAAUAUUGUGGUAUUGGACUCUUGAGUGGGGAAAUAUUACAGUAGGUAGCUAGUUAGACAUAAAGAGAGCAGGAAAAGUAUUUCCCCAUCCCCAGUCAAGAAUGUCAG
RNAcentral lists this long non-coding RNA (804 nucleotides) under Homo sapiens (human). RNAcentral describes it as "HSALNT0008896". Lineage: Eukaryota; Metazoa; Chordata; Mammalia; Primates; Hominidae. The record is from RNAcentral.